Molecule: ribosomal RNA, 744 nt
Filed under: uncultured bacterium
Lineage: Bacteria
Description: bacterial SSU rRNA
Rfam family: Bacterial small subunit ribosomal RNA
Source: RNAcentral
AGAGUUUGAUCAUGGCUCAGAACGAACGCUGGCGGCAUGCCUAACACAUGCAAGUCGAACGCGUGUAGCAAUACACGAGUGGCGCACGGGUGAGUAACGCGUGGGAACCUGCCCUGGAGUGGGGGAUAACCCGGCGAAAGCCGGGCUAAUACCGCAUACGACCUUCGGGUGAAAGAUUUAUCGCUCUGGGAGGGGCCCGCGUCGGAUUAGCUAGUUGGUGAGGUAACGGCUCACCAAGGCGAUGAUCCGUAGCUGGUCUGAGAGGAUGAUCAGCCACACUGGGACUGAGACACGGCCCAGACUCCUACGGGAGGCAGCAGUGGGGAAUAUUGGACAAUGGGGGCAACCCUGAUCCAGCAAUGCCGCGUGAGUGAUGAAGGCCUUAGGGUUGUAAAGCUCUUUCGGCGGGGACGAUGAUGACGGUACCCGCAGAAGAAGCCCCGGCUAACUUCGUGCCAGCAGCCGCGGUAAUACGAAGGGGGCGAGCGUUGUUCGGAAUUACUGGGCGUAAAGGGCGCGCAGGCGGCCUGAGAAGUCAGAUGUGAAAGCCCCGGGCUCAACCUGGGAAUAGCAUUUGAUACUCUGAGGCUGGAGUGCGGGAGAGGAGAGUGGAAUUCCCAGUGUAGAGGUGAAAUUCGUAGAUAUUGGGAAGAACACCGGUGGCGAAGGCGGCUCUCUGGACCGUAACUGACGCUGAGGCGCGAAAGCGUGGGGAGCAAACAGGAUUAGAUACCCUGGUAGUCC